Molecule: ribosomal RNA, 484 nt
Filed under: uncultured Actinomycetales bacterium
Lineage: Bacteria; Bacillati; Actinomycetota; Actinomycetes; Actinomycetales
Description: bacterial SSU rRNA
Rfam family: Bacterial small subunit ribosomal RNA
Source: RNAcentral
AGAGUUUGAUCCUGGCUCAGGACGAACGCUGGCGGCGUGCUUAACACAUGCAAGUCGAACGAUGAAGCCUCUUCGGGGGUGGAUUAGUGGCGAACGGGUGAGUAACACGUGAGUAACCUGCCCUUCACUUCAGGAUAAGCCUUGGAAACGGGGUCUAAUACUGGAUAUGACUCAAGCUCGCAUGGGUUUGGGUGGAAAGAGUUUUUGGUGGGGGAUGGGCUCGCGGCCUAUCAGCUUGUUGGUGAGGUAGUGACUUACCAAGGCGACGACGGGUAGCCGGCCUGAGAGGGUGACCGGCCACACUGGGACUGAGCCACGGCCCAGACUCCUACGGGAGGCAGCAGUGGGGAAUAUUGCACAAUGGGCGCAAGCCUGAUGCAGCGACGCCGCGUGAGGGAUGAAGGCCUUCGGGUUGUAAACCUCUUUCGUCAGGGAAGAAGCGAAAGUGACGGUACCUGAAGAAGAAGCACCGGCUAACUACGUG